UUGGGGGGGUGCCUAAUACAUGCAAGUCGAGCGGACAGAUGGGAGCUUGCUCCCUGAUGUUAGCGGCGGACGGGUGAGUAACACGUGGGUAACCUGCCUGUAAGACUGGGAUAACUCCGGGAAACCGGGGCUAAUACCGGAUGGUUGUUUGAACCGCAUGGUUCAAACAUAAAAGGUGGCUUCGGCUACCACUUACAGAUGGACCCGCGGCGCAUUAGCUAGUUGGUGAGGUAACGGCUCACCAAGGCAACGAUGCGUAGCCGACCUGAGAGGGUGAUCGGCCACACUGGGACUGAGACACGGUCCAGCUCCUACGGGA
Molecule: ribosomal RNA, 319 nt
Filed under: Bacillus subtilis
Lineage: Bacteria; Bacillati; Bacillota; Bacilli; Caryophanales; Bacillaceae
Description: bacterial SSU rRNA
Rfam family: Bacterial small subunit ribosomal RNA
Source: RNAcentral